AAACACAACAAAAGGGUUAGCGACGGUGGUAGCCAGCCAAAGAGCAUAUGAAAAAUAGCAGUGACGAGGCAAAGGUUUCCACUUUGGUCCAUACUUUCUCUUGGUCCAAUUGUUGUUGCUACAAAGGGACAAAAGGCAAAACAGUCCACUCACAAGCGAAAGCGAAGACGAUGCAAAAAUUGCAAGUCAUUUGGACAUGAUAGACGAAAAUGUACUAAAGUGUGCACAGAUGCAUAUGAAACUCACAAUUAUGAUCAUGUUGGGGCACCCAAUAAUGUUGAGAAUGUAAAUUUGAAUCUGAUAGGAUCAUCCGAUGGCCUAUUGCAAUCAGAUUCACAGCAUGGAUGCAAUAAGGAAUUAAUGGAUAGUAAUUGGUUUCAGAUCAUUCCUCCUGGUCAGGCAUUAAUGUGGGCAUGCAAUCCUUCAUUAAUCCAAAGUCAUGUACAAAACACUAGCUUGUUAGGAGAUGAAAAGUAUUCAGUGAAUGAACCAGAUUUCAGCCAAGACCAUUAAGGAAUUUUAUUCUUGAGAGAGUACAAAUGUUUUUGCACGUCUUUGCUCAAAGCUUUUAGGAUGAUUUAAGUUUCUUCGAAGCUUGCUUGGAAAAAAGUUUGGUGAUCAAAUUUCAGAUAUUGUUAGCAUCCAAGUGCUCUUGGGUUUGUAAACCAGAAAUGUCAAUCCAAACUGAAGCUUUUGAUAGUGAUAUCAGAGCCCUUGAUGCUGGUGAUCAAAUUCUCAAAUCAAGUUACUUGCCUUUUGAUUGCUUCAGAUUUCUGAAGCCAAAGUCUUUGUGCUCUAAAUUCAGUUCUUGGCCAUGUAAUCUUGUCAUGCUUAGAUAGCUAUAUCUAGUGUCCUGCCAGCUUAAUUUUGAUGCGUAAGUAUCAAUUAUUAAAAGUUAGAUUCAUUCUGAUGCUCAAAAUGAGCCGUUUUCUCCUAUUUUGAAAUACCAAUUUCAUAUCAAAUGUCUUGUGCAUGUAGAUUUUGCUGUUUACUU
Molecule: non-coding RNA, 994 nt
Organism: Coffea arabica (coffee)
Lineage: Eukaryota; Viridiplantae; Streptophyta; Magnoliopsida; Gentianales; Rubiaceae
Source: RefSeq, a predicted model, not a curated record